GGACCUCUCGACUAAUAGAUGAGCCUAGGCCGGAUUAGCUAGUUGGUAAGGGUAAAGGCCUACCAAGGCGACGAUCUGUAGCUGGUCUGAGAGGAUGGCCAGCCACACUGGAACUGAGACACGGUCCAGACUCCUACGGGAGGCAGCAGGUGGGGAAUAUUGGACAAUGGGGGCAACCCUGAUCCAGCCAUGCCGCGUGUGUGAAGAAGGCCUUCGGGUUGUAAAGCACUUUAAGCGAGGAGGAAGGUUUUUAGUUUAAUACACUAAAGAAUUGACGUUACUCGCAGAAUAAGCACCGGCUAACUCUGUG
Molecule: ribosomal RNA, 310 nt
Filed under: uncultured bacterium
Lineage: Bacteria
Description: bacterial SSU rRNA
Rfam family: Bacterial small subunit ribosomal RNA
Source: RNAcentral